AUAAUAUUUUGAACCGCAUGGUUCAAAAGUGAAAGACGGUCUUGCUGUCACUUAUAGAUGGAUCCGCGCUGCAUUAGCUAGUUGGUAAGGUAACGGCUUACCAAGGCAACGAUGCAUAGCCGACCUGAGAGGGUGAUCGGCCACACUGGAACUGAGACACGGUCCAGACUCCUACGGGAGGCAGCAGUAGGGAAUCUUCCGCAAUGGGCGAAAGCCUGACGGAGCAACGCCGCGUGAGUGAUGAAGGUCUUCGGAUCGUAAAACUCUGUUAUUAGGGAAGAACAUAUGUGUAAGUAACUGUGCACAUCUUG
This 311-nucleotide ribosomal RNA is filed under the name Staphylococcus aureus. RNAcentral describes it as "bacterial SSU rRNA". It matches the Rfam family "Bacterial small subunit ribosomal RNA", at positions 173 to 471 of the family's 1533-position model. The record is from RNAcentral. Lineage: Bacteria; Bacillati; Bacillota; Bacilli; Caryophanales; Staphylococcaceae.